This 438-nucleotide ribosomal RNA is filed under the name uncultured bacterium. RNAcentral describes it as "partial 16S ribosomal RNA". It matches the Rfam family "Bacterial small subunit ribosomal RNA", at positions 339 to 795 of the family's 1533-position model. The record is from RNAcentral.
CUACGGGUGGCACCAGUGGGGAAUAUUGCACAAUGGGGGAAACUCUGAUGCAGCAACGCCGCGUGGAGGAUGACGCAUUUCGGUGUGUAUACUCCUUUUAUAUGUCAAGAAAAUGACGGUAGCAUAUGAAUAAGCACCGGCUAACUCCGUGCCAGCAGCCGCGGUAAUACGGAGGGUGCAAGCGUUACUCGGAAUCACUGGGCGUAAGGACGCGUAGGCGGGAUAUCAAGUCAGGUGUGAAAUCCUACAGCUUAACUGUAGAACUGCACUUGAAACUGGUAACCUAGAGUAUGGGAGGGGGAGAUGGAAUUAGUGGUGUAGGGGUAAAAUCCGUAGAUAUCACUAGGAAUACCUAAAGCGAAGGCGAUCUCCUGGAACAUAACUGACGAUAAGGCGUCAAAGCGUGGGGAGCAAAGAGGAUUAGAUACCCUGGUAGUC